Molecule: ribosomal RNA, 477 nt
Filed under: Triticum aestivum (bread wheat)
Lineage: Eukaryota; Viridiplantae; Streptophyta; Magnoliopsida; Poales; Poaceae
Description: partial small subunit ribosomal RNA
Source: RNAcentral
AUGUUUGAUACAAUGUACCGGACUAACCUUUACGACAUGCCCUUAAGACUUUUUGUUGGGGUUAACAACAAUUUUCAGAGUAUUAUACUGGCUGGUGUACUGGUAUGCGACGAGACUGAGGAAAGUUUUGAGUGUGUCUUUUCAGAUUUUCUACAGAUGAUGAGAGGCGUGGCGCCGAAGACAAUACUCAUUGACAAGAAUCGGACGAUGAAUUGCAUAAAAGAACAACAUGUUUGGACAUGGGUGAUGUCCAGGGAGCAACCUCGGAAGUCUGCGAGGUGUAAGAAUUGUGGGGUUGAGGGCCAUAGGAGAAACACCUGCACUAAGGCAAUGGAGAUGAGGUUAGCAAAUGUGGGAUGCUGGAGUGUAGUGCUAGGCCCGACGGACUGUUUUUUGUUAGUUGUAAACAUGUUAUGUUGUGUUGUGGAUUAUUUUAGAUUUUGUGUUGCACUCGUUGGUAGGCUGAACUGCAGUUAA